Molecule: ribosomal RNA, 446 nt
Filed under: uncultured bacterium
Lineage: Bacteria
Description: partial 16S ribosomal RNA
Rfam family: Bacterial small subunit ribosomal RNA
Source: RNAcentral
CCUACGGGAGGCAGCAGUCGAGAAUCAUUCACAAUGGGGGAAACCCUGAUGGUGCGACGCCGCGUGGGGGAAUGAAGGUCUUCGGAUUGUAAACCCCUGUCAUGUGGGAGCAAAUCAAAAAGAUAGUACCACAAGAGGAAGAGACGGCUAACUCUGUGCCAGCAGCCGCGGUAAAACAGAGGUCUCAAGUGCGGUUCGGAAUCACUGGGGGUAAAGCGUGUGUAGGUUGUUUGGUCAGGCGCGUGUGAAAGAGGCGGGCUCAAACCGCGGACGGCACAUGAAACUGGGAGACUAGAGUAUGGGAGAGGGAAGCGGAAUGCGCGGUGUAGCAGUGAAAUGCGUAGAUAUCGAGAGGAACACUCGUGGCGAAGGCGGGUUCCUGGACAUUAACUGACGCUGAGGCACGAAGGCCAGGGGAGCGAAAGGGAUUAGAUACCCUUGUAGUC